Long non-coding RNA from Neofelis nebulosa (Clouded leopard), 483 nucleotides. RefSeq lists it as uncharacterized. The transcript has 3 exons. The record is from RefSeq and is a predicted model, not a curated record. NCBI's taxonomy places the organism in Eukaryota, Metazoa, Chordata, Mammalia, Carnivora, Felidae.
UACCCAGCAGGAUACACAGGUGGGAUUAAUAAAGCUCAAUAUUUGCUCAACUAAAAGUUGGAAUCGUGGUAAAAAUAAAUGAAUUAGAACCAGCUCCUAUGGAUAGCUUACAGAAACAAUUUGGGGUUCUAACACUGCUUCCACAUGAAUAAAAAAUGUAUAAAGAAGAUACACUACAAAAGGCAAAGAAAUGAUCACAUCGAGAUGCUUGGGUCAGCUGCAGCUUAAAGACACAGAAUUCAAAAACUAGAAGACAUCGCCGAGACAUUGCAGAAUUUCAGCAUGCUUAAGUGUUGAAGGUGGCCAGGCACAGAGCACUGUGGAAAUCCAUCUGGCUGUGAAGCUGUCCCACAGCCUUGUCCAAGAGUCCCUGCUCAGCUGAGAGGCUGUGGGUAAGUCACAGCCCUCCAUAAGCCUAAACCAUUACAAUUUAAAAUGGAAAUAAAGCAACACUCAAAGUAGAGUGGUUUUGUGAGCAUCAAA